CAUUCUCACUCCCAACCUAGACAGAACGACGCAUCUGAGAGAAGGCUUCUUCUCCAUUUCCAUCAAAAACCAAGAACAUACCCUGUUCUUCCAAGAGAACAAACGUCACUCCUCUACCCUCUCUUCACCCUCUCACUCAUACACACCCCUACCCUCACGCACAUAAAAACUCAUCCAACAGAUUCCCACAAGCAUUCGAAAAACAAGAGCUAAAAGAAAAAAAAACAAAAGCAAUGUUUUCUGCAAAUUUGAAGAAGAAAGAAGAAGAAAAGGUGAAGAAGAACUGAUUUUAAAGCAUCAUUUCUUUCUUUUUCGGGUGUCUGAAAGAUAUUUUGGAGCCGUGGAAUUGUCGCUCGUUGUCCGCUGAUUUGCGUUGUUGUUGCACUACUGUCUCUGCUGUUUGCUCUCAAAAAUCGCAGCUGAAUCCCCUUCAGCGCUAUUUCUGCCACUCAAUCGGCUGUUUCAAGGUUUAUUUGUCGAAGUAAUUAUAGAUAAAAGGUCAAUCAAUGAACUCUUGACUAUAUAUGUUCAAGAAGAAGAGAGGUUGAAGCACGAGACACCUGAGAGUAUUCAUUUGGUGACUCAUAAUAAGAGUAAUGCAAAGAAUGCCAAAAGUGUUCCCAAGAAGAAGAAAAGCACCUUUGACAAAGAUGCUUGCCAUUUCUGUAAGAAGAAGGGACAUUGGAAGAAAGAUUGCCUGAAAUACAAGAAAUGACUUGAGAAGAAAGAAUUUUCAGAUGAAGGAUAGACGCCUCUUAUGUCAUUGGCAUAGAGAUUCAUAGAGAUAGAUCCCAAAGAUUACUUGGACUGUCUCAAAGGGCCUACAUUGAAAGAAUUCUGGAAAGAUUUGGGAUGAAGAAUUGUUCACCUAUAGCAGCACCCAUAAUUAAAGGUGACAAAUUCUUAUUGAAUCAAUGUCCACAAAAUGCAUUGGAAAAGGAGAAAAUGAAAGACAUUCCCUGUGCUUCGCUUGUUGGGAGCCUUCUGUAUGCACAUGUAUAUACUAGACCUAAUAUUGCUUUUGCGAUAGGAAUUCUUGGCAGAUAUCAAAGUAACUCUGGUCUUGACCAUUGGAAAGCGGGUAAAAGGUUUUGAGAUAUUUUCAAGGAACCAACAAUUUUAAGCUCACAUACAAAUACUCUGACUCAUUGGAAGUGAUUGGAUAUUCCGACUCUGUUUUGGGUGGAUGCAAAGACAAUGGUAAUUCUACUUCAGGAUACAUUUCCUUCUUGCUAGAGAUGUUGUGACUUGGAGAAGUAUCAAGCAGACAAUUGUUGCAACAUCAACUAUGGAAGCUGAAUUUAUAAUAUGCUAUGAAGCUACAUCACAGACGUUAUGGUUGAAGAACUUUAUUUCCGGCUUUAGGAUUGUCGAUUCCAUUUCAAGGCCAUUGUGAAUCUUUUGUGACAAUUCAGCUGCAGUGUUUUUCUUUAAGAACAAUAAAAGUGGCAGCCGAAGCAAGUACAUCGACAUAAAGUAAUUGAUAGUUAGAGACUAUGUGAAGAAGCAAGAUGUGAAUUUUGAGCAUGUUAGUACUAACUACUUUGAUGAUUGUUGAUCCUAUGACUAAAGGUCUACCGGCUAAUAUUUUCAAGGAUCAUGUAACUUAUAUGGGGCUUAGUAGCUCAAUGUAGUCUUGCUUUGCUCUCUAACAGUUUAUCUAAAUAUUAUGUUUAUUUUGAUAUACAUGAUAGUGCACACUUAGUUUUUUAUGUAUUAUUUUGUGAUCAUUGGAUCAAUAAAUUUGGACUCUGAAUGACUAUAUUAAGUU
This is a non-coding RNA of Nicotiana tabacum (common tobacco), 1771 nucleotides long. The record is from RefSeq and is a predicted model, not a curated record. NCBI's taxonomy places the organism in Eukaryota, Viridiplantae, Streptophyta, Magnoliopsida, Solanales, Solanaceae.